This 2741-nucleotide long non-coding RNA is filed under the name Volvox carteri. RNAcentral describes it as "long non-coding RNA (VCAR_LNC000180)". Lineage: Eukaryota; Viridiplantae; Chlorophyta; Chlorophyceae; Chlamydomonadales; Volvocaceae. The record is from RNAcentral.
UUCACGGGCCUUGACGAGGUCGCUGGUCAUUAUUAUUUACUAUCCAGGGAGCUUUGUGACACUUGAAGUUGGAAGGGUCCAAAUAACAUGUUUAUCCUGUGGAAUGCAGCAGCAAUGGGUCCUAUUCCGUACCGCGGGUGGCCGUCGCAGCCCGCUGAGCGAAGGCAUUCUGGCCUUUAUGGUUUGCCUUAUAUGAAUCCCUUUGACCCGUGACUUGCGUGGGUACGUAGCCGGCCCGAGCGUGCUAGCGUCCCGCGAACGAAACCAACAAUGCCGGGGGCUGCGGGUUGCCGGCAUUAAGUCAUUUUAUACUUGCCAAAUUAUAUAAAAUAUAUUUCAGCACUGUAGGGCUUGAAGUUAUUUGCAGUUAUGGGCUGCGCGUUGAAGUCGCACGGUGGUUUCGACUUUCUAUCUUACUUAUGCCCCGCUGCAAAUUUGGUUGAGGAUCGCUAAUUUCUCACGCAUAGACUUGAUCGUAUUAUAUACUAUUUGCCAUUAUACGCUUGUAGUGAUAUUUGCGAGGACCUGACCUGGCUCGCUUUAACCCUAUGCCCAUGUUGGCAACGGUCAACGUUAAGUCAACGUUUUAAUGCAUCUUUAAGUCAUCUUGUGCAAAACAUUUCUUGGGUCAUUGCCCCUACUAAUGGAAAUGGAGGUGUUUGGGAGAAGGUUGACCACCGCGGCAUGGAAAGCAUGGACAUGGACAAGCUCGCCCCACCAACACGGUCAGCUUGCAGCAAGUGGUUUUAUGCAGUUAUAUUCGUGACUAUGUGCUAGAAACAAACAAAUGGUACACUAGUGCGUACAUUGAACGUUUGGGAACGCUGCCGAGGAGCGUUCUUUGGAGCACACGCAAAUCGAGCUUCUAGUUGGCUGGCAGGCAGAAGGCAAAUUUUAGCCCGUAGUAUGACAACUGUUUGGAAUUAAUGCUUCGUGGCUUGCGUUCAGCACUCCUGCUGCUUGAACUUGCCCAGCAUGUGCGCACUGGCCCCAAAAUUGGACCUGUCUGGCGUGGACAUAUGAUAUUGUGACCCACGAUACCGUGUCGGGCAGUACUUACCGUGCAAAAUCGCAUACGCUGAAACGGAAUGGUUCUCGCUCAUAGUUUGCCGUAAACGUCUUCUUCAAAGGGACUGCGGAGGGCGUGACGGAGGUGGUAUCUAAGGAGAUGCCAAGUGUGUUUCGCCGUACUGAGGCGUUGGCUGGACGUUUGUAUUCUCGGUUGAGGGGUUUGGUGGCACCUUGUGUCAAGGCACACAGUCCUUAUCCUACAUGUUUCUAGAUUUCCUCCUGCCAGUCUACCUUAUUCUCGGUUGAGGGGUUUGGUGGCACCUUGUGUCAAGGCACACAGUCCUUAUCCUACAUGUUUCUAGAUUUCCUCCUGCCAGUCUAUCCUAGUGCACGCACUUCUACGUCUGCUGUUUGUGUCCAGUGACGUACCACACCCUUGAACCCGCACAGGCUGAAGAAGCGCGAUCGCAGCUAGAGCCAGGAAUUCUGGAGCUGGAGCUGCAGGUGAGUUCAAAUUCGUAAGCGUACCUGCCUUGGAUUAAAGCGUUGGGCGUUUAAUCCUUAGGUCUUUCUCGUUCAGGCAAAGGCUAGUCUUCGAAGCGCGGCAGUCAAGCAUAUGCGGCCCUCGUCCGAUGACGAACUACCUGGUGACCGAAAGCUCCGUGUCAUGGGUGCAGUAAUGGACAACCCUACGAAUGUCGCUGGGGAUCCGCCAUCGACUGUAAGUGCGACGUGAUUCGUCUAGCGGUUUCGCAGUUAUCUGUUGACAAGCGUUCUCACCACAUUUUAAAUCCGUGUUUCUCUGAUUCUCUAAAUGUAAUUGCAGUCCACGCCGGCGGAUUCCAGCCCAACUGUUGGGGACGGUAACCGGCUUGCUAUAGCUACUGAUAGCGCUCAACUGUCACGGUCCGCCAGCCACGGUCCACACGGCGGGGACGGCGCUGAACCUGGGCCACGUGUUCAGCCCCGUAUUCAGUCGCUCCGGGAGGCGGAUACCGGCACUUCUGGCGAUCGCCAAUCGGGCCUUGUUGGGAGGGUGCAGCUAUCUGGUAUAACGCGUACUCUUGCAGUUGCCGACGGGACCCAAGAGGCCACAGCACCGCAGCUCAGAGUUGGUCUUCCUAUUGUGCGCGCGGAUAAGGGCAAGUCCGAUGGCGAAACACUGGACGGCGCAACCAGUGCACUGCGCCGCAAUCAGUCUGUAAAGCGAGCCGCCAGCCCGCCGACAUCAGCUGCCAAAAUCCGCGGCGAUGGCAGCCUUGCGGCAGGCGAUAACCAUGGGAACCCCAACAAAUGGCGUGUCGCUGUCGGUGCUGUUAAUGCAGUAAGGAAUUUGGCUGUCUCGACGCCGCCUCCGGCCCGUCAUGUCCUUGGGGCGAACCAACAGCAGCCACCUACCUCAGGUGUCUCGUCUCCCACAGGCUCCGUCGUUGGCGUGGCUGGUGCGAAGAUUGAUUGGUCACCGCGGGACCCUGCGUCGAUGCGUGCCUCCGGGCCUCGACAAGAAGACACGCGAUCUGAACGUUCGUACAGCCAUACGUCUAUUCCGUCAGCAGGGGGACCUCCGCAAAAUCGGUCCCACAGGUUUCGCCCACCGACGUCACAGCCUGAGGAAGCUGCUCCAUCGAUGGCCUUGCAAAGAGUUGGAACUUUCCGUAGUCCUGAUCGGAGCCCCGACCAGGAUGACAGCGUAGACAUGGGCACAGCCGGUGCGCUACUAGAUAAGGUGG